Molecule: long non-coding RNA, 1240 nt
Organism: Clarias gariepinus (North African catfish)
Lineage: Eukaryota; Metazoa; Chordata; Actinopteri; Siluriformes; Clariidae
Exons: 3
Source: RefSeq, a predicted model, not a curated record
UGCAGGAACCUACUGCUGUGCAUACAGCUCAUCAGCUCCAACAUGGCUGCCACAUCAUUAAGCCUCUGCUUGGAGAGAAGAUGAGAAAGACAUCGUGAGAGUUUUCAGUAGAGACGCACCAUCACACUGUUCGUGUCAGCCUGGAGCUUGGAUAAGACUGUAUUUGUUGUCGUAGGAAAGUGGGACAGAAGGAUGUACAGUAUAUCCAGUGAGCAACUGCUUUAGUUACAUGAUACAAUGGCAUGAGGGACAUGGACAGCUCGCUCUGCUAUGAAGGAUCCCAUCGAUCAGUGUGUCAGCGCUAAGGGAAAAGGUUAAGGCCCAUUGCGUUGCCUCGUUCCGCUCACCGACAAUCCUGCUCUUAUCAGGAUGUGAAAGAGCAGCAAAGGGCAGGCCAUUCCCAGGACAGCCGCUGACCUUCACUAAUCACACACCUCACUCACUUUCUAGCCAUAAUUAACACCCAGCCAGAACAGAUGGCUCUGUACUCAAACAAAGAGCGCGCAAACGUGCAGAGAGAAAAUCAAGGGGAGACGCUCCUGGUUGGGAGAGGUUUGAAAUCGUCUUUAUAUAUACCUACAAAAAGAUGCUGAGUCAAUGAUCCCACAGUAAAUGUUAUGAGCAUGGGGCGAAUACACGGUUUUUAAUUGCUGGACUAAGCUUUUGGAAUGCACACCACAUUCAGUCUAAUUCGUUUUUUACACCACAUAUAUAUCACAGAUAAGAGCUGGUGCACUCUGAUUCACAUUAGAAACACAUUACCUGUACAGACAUAUACUGUAUAAAAGUCUUCGCUUAAUGUUGUAUAUGUCAGGAGAUAUCAAAGCACUAUUCUGUUUGGCAAUAGCUAUAAAGUCAUGGCACUACAUUAUGGAUGCUUGGUUAAAAGAGAUCAGUACAACUGUGUGCAUAUGUGGUUUAAAAGUCUAAAAUAAAAUUUCUGAUCUUUUUUCAUUUAAAAUCUGAAAUAAAUGAAAGGAUUUAACAUAUUCAAUUAUUUAAAACAAAGUAAGUGAGUGUUCAGGAUUCUGUACUAUUUCUACUGUAGGUCCCAUUUACUGUAAAUGUAAGCAUAUUUGUGAUAUUGGCCAUGUUCACUGCUGCGUACAAAAGGCCAGAUUUUCCUUGCUUAAUCCCUUCUAUUAAAGUACUUUGGAUUGGAUCUAAAAUGGAUCAUAGGGUUUUGCACAAAAUUGUGGAGUCUAUGCCAGCUCUACAAGCCCUCUGCCAGCAAAGCAAA